GACGAACGCUGGCGGCGUGCUUAACACAUGCAAGUCGAACGAUGAAGCCGGAGCUUGCUCCGGUGGAUUAGUGGCGAACGGGUGAGUAACACGUGAGCAAUCUGCCCUUGACUCUGGGAUAACUGCGGGAAACUGUAGCUAAUACCGGAUACGACACCUUGGGGCAUCCCAGGGUGUGGAAAGAAUUUCGGUCAAGGAUGAGCUCGCGGCCUAUCAGCUAGUUGGUGAGGUAAUGGCUCACCAAGGCGACGACGGGUAGCCGGCCUGAGAGGGUGACCGGCCACACUGGAACUGAGACACGGUCCAGACUCCUACGUGAGGCAGCAGUGGGGAAUAUUGCACAAUGGGAGAAAGGCUGAUGCAGCAACGCCGCGUGAGGGAUGAAGGCCUUCGGGUUGUAAACCUCUUUUAGCAGGGAAGAAGCGAAAGUGACGGUACCUGCAGAAAAAGCACCGGCUAACUACGUGCCAGCCGCCGCGGUAA
RNAcentral lists this ribosomal RNA (483 nucleotides) under uncultured bacterium. RNAcentral's name for it is "partial 16S ribosomal RNA". It matches the Rfam family "Bacterial small subunit ribosomal RNA", at positions 28 to 523 of the family's 1533-position model. The record is from RNAcentral.